RNAcentral lists this ribosomal RNA (495 nucleotides) under uncultured bacterium. RNAcentral describes it as "partial 16S ribosomal RNA". It matches the Rfam family "Bacterial small subunit ribosomal RNA", at positions 28 to 507 of the family's 1533-position model. The record is from RNAcentral.
GACGAACGCUGGCGGCGUGCCUAAUACAUGCAAGUAGAACGCUGAAGGAGGAGCUUGCUUCUCUGGAUGAGUUGCGAACGGGUGAGUAACGCGUAGGUAACCUGCCUGGUAGCGGGGGAUAACUAUUGGAAACGAUAGCUAAUACCGCAUAAUAGUAGAUGUUGCAUGACAUUUGCUUAAAAGGUGCAAUUGCAUCACUACCAGAUGGACCUGCGUUGUAUUAGCUAGUUGGUGGGGUAACGGCUCACCAAGGCGACGAUACAUAGCCGACCUGAGAGGGUGAUCGGCCACACUGGGACUGAGACACGGCCCAGACUCCUACGGGAGGCAGCAGUAGGGAAUCUUCGGCAAUGGACGGAAGUCUGACCGAGCAACGCCGCGUGAGUGAAGAAGGGUUUCGGAUCGUAAAGCUCUGUUGUAAGAGAAGAACGUGUGUGAGAGUGGAAAGUUCACACUGUGACGGUAUCUGACCAGAAAGGGACGGCUAACUACGUG